AGAGUUUGAUCCUGGCUCAGAAUCAACGCUGGCGGCGUGCCUCAGACAUGCAAGUCGAACGAUUAAAGCUCCCUUCGGGGAGUGUAUAGAGUGGCGCACGGGUGAGUAACACGUAAGUAAUCUACCUUUGAGUGGGGAAUAACAGUCGGAAACGACUGCUAAUACCGCAUAAUGCAGCGGCACCGCAAGGUGACAGUUGUUAAAGAUUUAUCGCUUGAAGAGGAGCUUGCGGCAGAUUAGCUUGUUGGUAAGGUAACGGCUUACCAAGGCUACGAUCUGUAUCCGGUCUAAGAGGACGGUCGGACACACUGACACUGAAUAACGGGUCAGACUCCUACGGGAGGCAGCAGUCGGGAAUUUUGGGCAAUGGGCGAAAGCCUGACCCAGCAACGCCGCGUGAAGGAUGAAGUAUUUCGGUAUGUAAACUUCGAAAGAAUAGGAAGAAUUAAUGACGGUACUAUUUAUAAGGUCCGGCUAACUACGUGCCAGCAGCCGCGGUAAUACGUAGGGACCAAGCGUUGUUCGGAUUUACUGGGCGUAAAGGGCGCGUAGGCGGCGCUGUAAGUCACUUGUGAAAUCUCCGGGCUUAACUCGGAACGGUCAAGUGAUACUGCAGUGCUAGAGUGCGGAAGGGGCAAUCGGAAUUCUUGGUGUAGCGGUGAAAUGCGUAGAUAUCAAGAGGAACACCUGAGGUGAAGACGGGUUGCUGGGCCGACACUGACGCUGACAGCGCGAAAGCCAGGGGAGCAAACGGGAUUAGAUACCCUAGUAGUCC
RNAcentral lists this ribosomal RNA (775 nucleotides) under uncultured bacterium. Its description in RNAcentral is "bacterial SSU rRNA". It matches the Rfam family "Bacterial small subunit ribosomal RNA", at positions 8 to 796 of the family's 1533-position model. The record is from RNAcentral.